Molecule: ribosomal RNA, 116 nt
Filed under: Oncorhynchus mykiss (rainbow trout)
Lineage: Eukaryota; Metazoa; Chordata; Actinopteri; Salmoniformes; Salmonidae
Description: partial 12S ribosomal RNA
Source: RNAcentral
UCUAGAACCGAUAACCCCCGUUCAACCUCACCACCCCUUGUUUUACCCGCCUAUAUACCACCGUCGUCAGCUUACCCUGUGAAGGCCCCAUAGUAAGCAAAAUGGGCAAAACCCAA